ACCUACGGGAGGCAGCAGUGGGGAAUAUUGCACAAUGGGGGGAACCCUGAUGCAGCGACGCCGCGUGAGUGAAGAAGUAUUUCGGUAUGUAAAGCUCUAUCAGCAGGGAAGAAAAUGACGGUACCUGACUAAGAAGCCCCGGCUAACUACGCGCCAGCAGCCGCGGUAAUACGUAGGGGGCAAGCGUUAUCCGGAUUUACUGGGUGUAAAGGGAGCGUAGACGGCUGUGCAAGUCUGAAGUGAAAGCCCAGGGCUCAACCCUGGGACUGCUUUGGAAACUGUGGAGCUAGAGUGCUGGAGAGGUA
RNAcentral lists this ribosomal RNA (305 nucleotides) under uncultured bacterium. Its description in RNAcentral is "bacterial SSU rRNA". It matches the Rfam family "Bacterial small subunit ribosomal RNA", at positions 337 to 659 of the family's 1533-position model. The record is from RNAcentral.